GACGAACGCUGGCGGCGUGCUUAACACAUGCACGUCGAACGGACAGGCCCUGCUUUUGUGGGGUGCUCGAGUGGCGAACGGGUGAGUAACCCGUGAGUAACCUGCCCUUGACUUUGGGAUAACUUCAGGAAACUGGGGCUAAUACCGGAUAGGAGCUCCUGCUGCAUGGUGGGGGUUGGAAAGUUUCGGCGGUUGGGGAUGGACUCGCGGCUUAUCAGCUUGUUGGUGGGGUAGUGGCUUACCAAGGCUUUGACGGGUAGCCGGCCUGAGAGGGUGACCGGCCACAUUGGGACUGAGAUACGGCACAGACUCCUACGGGAGGCAGCAGUGGGGAAUAUUGCACAAGGGGCGGAAGCCUGAUGCAGCAACGCCGCGUUCGGGAUGACGGCCUUCGGGUUGUAAACCGCUUUCGCCUGUGACGAAGCGUGAGUGACGGUAAUGGGUAAAGAAGCACGGGCUAACUACGUG
Molecule: ribosomal RNA, 468 nt
Filed under: uncultured bacterium
Lineage: Bacteria
Description: partial 16S ribosomal RNA
Rfam family: Bacterial small subunit ribosomal RNA
Source: RNAcentral